This 65-nucleotide non-coding RNA is filed under the name Heterosigma akashiwo. The record is from RNAcentral. Lineage: Eukaryota; Raphidophyceae; Chattonellales; Chattonellaceae.
GAUAAAAAAAUAAAAAAAUAAAUUGAAUAUUGUUGUUUUUGUCUUGUGAUUUUUUUCAUGCAUUG